CCUGUUAGUGGACGCUGAUUCAUGAAUGAAGUGAAAGGAAGUCUGCUCCUUCAUAUUGAGGUUUACAGUUCCCAGGUUUCUCAGGUGGUUGAUCAAGAUUUCGGACAACACUACAACGCUCUUAAUACCUAACGGGGAGACCCCAACAUCUCAAUCAUAACCAGACGCUACGACGUCAUGUCUCAAACCUCUCGAGCCAGAGCUGAGACAUCACCAGACUGAACAACCAUGAGCAAAACACACAGGAUGUCUUCCUUCCUGUCCUUCUGUGGCUCUUUUUCCCUCGUCUAUAUUCUGUAUUUUCCUACCAGACUCGGGAGACGAAAGCUUCCUCCUCUGUGAGAGAAAUAGAGUGAAAGCAGGUUCUGGAUGGACUUCUUAUUCCAUACAAAGGAGCUUUAUUUGCAUGAUCUUAAACAGAGCAUUGCCAAAGCAUGCCGUACAACAGGCUGGAGUUUUGUGAAUUCUGUCAGACUCUGUUUCUACCAUGUCUUCUUUGCACAGCUGGCAGAAACGCUCCUCUCUGGGGAGCCAUUGUUUUCUGUAUCAGGCAGGCUGUGCUCACUGGGUCUGGACUGUAUUCCUCUCAGGUAAAUUUGUGUUUUAUUGAUAAGUGUUCACAAACUAAUUGCAAUGGAGCAGCCAACGUAAUCACAGAGUGUGUUGAUUCAGGAAGUUUCAAGGCGUCUGCCAAAUAGCUCUCGGGUACAAGUCUUGGAUUGCUCGUCCUGCAUUUACAGUAAUCAUCGUCAUGAUAUGAGUUAUCAGUCUCAGGGACGUCUGUACUUCAGUGUGCACAAAGACUCCAGGAGAUCCCAAAGUUAGAAAGUGCGGAAGAACAUGUUGAAUGUGACUGAGAAUUGGUUGAAAAGACU
Molecule: long non-coding RNA, 875 nt
Organism: Eleginops maclovinus (Patagonian blennie)
Lineage: Eukaryota; Metazoa; Chordata; Actinopteri; Perciformes; Eleginopidae
Exons: 3
Source: RefSeq, a predicted model, not a curated record